Gallus gallus (chicken) is the source of this 2111-nucleotide long non-coding RNA. NCBI's taxonomy places the organism in Eukaryota, Metazoa, Chordata, Aves, Galliformes, Phasianidae. The record is from Ensembl.
GAUUUACUAUGAAAACACAGCUUAUGAGGAAAGACCCAUUACUGCUGAUGGAAUACACUUCUGAAAUAGCUACGGCUGCUGCUGCCAUGGAGCAAAUGGAGCCUUGGAACCUGCAGUCGGCAGAGGGUUUGCUGGAAAUCUGCGUUUGAAUCAUGAAAUGCACUUUUCAAUGGACGCAGCAUUCUGGUAACUGGAACAAUAACCAUUCACAAGAUGAGGGUAACUCAGAUGACUCAAUGCUUCCCGCUGAGCUGCUUUCCUUCCCUCACUUGUGCCUUCCCGUGGAGUUUUCAGCCAUCUCAGAACAGAAGCAGUGGGAACUCUCCCAGUUGGGUUGAGCUCUCUGAGCUCCCUUCCAUCAGUGCCAGCCUGGAAGGAUUUAUGAGCACUUCUCUCAGCCUGGCAUGUGGUGUGCAGAUGUCUCAAGACUGGCUCAGCUUUGAACUCCCUCUAACCAUUCAAUUUUUUCAGUUGUGCAUCACUGUUAAUUUCCUCCAACUCAUCUUCUGGGGGUGGAGGGCUGGAAAGCAGCUUCUUUUUCCCUGCUCAGAGACAGCCUCUGUGGUCCCACAGAAGGGAGAUGGCAGCGUCACUCCCUUGGGAAGGGCUGUGAGAUGGCAGCAGGAACGGUGCUGGAGUUACCCCAUUCUUGAGGGGCUCGAAGGGAAAACCUCUGCCACCUGGGAUGAGUCACAGCGAGGGACAGGAGGAGCUGAUGAGCAGCCUGCUGGCACACACAGGGCAGGCACACACAGAUCCCACCCCAGUGACACCCAAGGGAUGCGGUUCCCAGCUGGCAGAGAGGGAAACGCAGGAGCUCAAAGCCCUCUGCAAGGGCUGAGCAUCCUUUGCUGACUGUGGGAGCUGAGGGCCUUUUGCAGAUUGCUCCUUCGGGCCCUUUUUAGUUUGGGAUUUCCCUCACAUGCGCUCCAACUGCAUCCUUCUGAAGGGGCUGAGAGCCCUGCAAGGCAUGGGAUGCCAGCAGUUUUGAGAGUGCCUGGCUUGUAGACCCAGCUGGGAAAGGAUCUAAAUGGGGAGCACAUGGAGAGCUGUCCUGGAUGAGGUCAAGCAUAGCAGGUAGUGUGGGAUGGGUUUUGGAGCUUCCCAUAGGAGUUGGACUUGGUGAUUCCUAUGGGUCCCUUCCAACUUGGGGUACUGUAUGGCAAUUCAGAGGUGUGGGGUCACUCAUAGACCUGCUGAUGUCCCACAUGAACCCCCAGUGAUUGCUACAAUGGGUCAGAAAGAUCUGAGAAAGGUUCUGAAGAUAUCCAGGAGGAUGUCAAGGCGACGGCUUAGAAGAUGUGGCUGUGAGACAUGAGAUCAGCAGGGAUGGUGCCCAUCCAUUCACCCAUCAUCUCUCCAUCCAUCACAGGUUGGUGGGAUGAGGAGGCCAAUAGGAAAGCAAUGAAAGAGGAAGAGCUGGUGUAUGGAAAGUGCUUGUGCCCAUGUUAAAAACAAAAAAAACCAACAAUAUGUAUAAGGACAAAAGUGAGAUUGCACAUCUGGAUGAGUAUGAACACAGCCAUCAUCGUAAGUCAGGAGUAGAGCCAUGGAGUGGUGCUGCCACCAGGAAUCAGGGCAGGUCCCUCCCAGGUCUGAUCACACAUGGCAUUGAGUGCUGGUCCAGCGUUGGCCCUGAAAUACGUAAUAGCAGUCAGAUGGAAAUAUCCUCCAGCAUAAAGGCAGCAGUGUGUGGGGGCUCAGCUCAAAGGAAAGCCCAGACAGCAGUGCUGGAGCCAUGCAUGUGGCUCCUGGAACGUCAGCUCAUCUCCUCCAGCAGGUCUGCUGCAAACACAUGGGGACAGCUAUUGCGUGUACAGCACCAGUCUCUGGGCGCUUAUGUUAUUUGUCGGGCAGAGGGAUAAUUGACAGGUGGCUGUCUGGAAGAGAUGAAGCCCUCCAGCAAAACUCUGCAGCUCCGGCAAGAUGCGAGCGACAGAGAAAUGGCUCCAGAGGUGAUAGACUUGUUACAUCUAACACCGCCGGAGAUGGAAGGGGAAGCAGGGUUGAAUCGCAGUUCAGAACAAUCGUACCUAACUGCUGCACUAAAUAAAAGCCAUGAUUUCAUACUGGUGUCUGCGGCUGCCUCAGACUGAGCCGGGAUUAACGAG